GCUCAAAUGAAUCUCCAUUUUCAGUUUCAUCUCUUCAAGUAUAUUUUCUUUGCUUCCUGUGUUUUCCAGAGGCAUGUGUUUUAUCUCUGUUUAUGUACAGUGACAUCAUCUAUCUGCCUGCAUAACAGAACUUUCCCUGUCAUGUUUUGUGCUUUGACCUCUCGAUGCUUUCACCUCCUCUGCCAAAUUGUUUCUGCAUCAAGAGAGAGGAGCAAAACCACUGUGGGGGGAAAACAGCAGUUAAGGCUCUUCGGUGAACAAGACUGCAGGCUUAGUCCCAAACGUGGAUCUGCCAUGGAGCAGGGAAUUAGGAAAUCAGCCAGUCAAGGACGGCUUGGUUCUGACCUAACCCCUGAGAAUCAACCAGGUGGAGCCUGUGAUGGAUGUAUUCCUGCCCUUCUGCACCAGCUGAGCUCAUUUUGCUGUGCUGAAUUCAUGACAAGACAAGAAAGAUGACGUGAAACUAGUGAGGUCAAUAUGCCUUCUGCUGCAACUUCUGUUUGGGGUGCUGCAUGAAGAGGCUGAGCCUCCUGGACAGCACAGCUCCUGGGCUCCCACCCUCUCUGCACCUUCACAUCUGGUGUCACUCAGUGUGGAAAGGACUGGGCACUGCAUCACCACUUGGUGAGCUCCAGGGAGACCAGAGGCUGGGGGGAACCCUUAGGCGUGUCUCUCACUUCUGCAUAGCAGCUGAUGGGGCUGUGGCUUGGGAAAUGUGCCGGUACUCACUUUAAUUAUUAAGAUAAAGCAGAGGCACAGAGAUGGUUUACUUGGACUGCGGUGCUCUGGAUGCAAUUUUCUGUCUUACGUUCCACUUCUCAGAUUAUAAACUUGUACAGCACAGAGGAUUUCUGUGUAGAAGUAUCAGAAGAGUCUCAGCUUUCACCACUCCUGCAAAAUUUAAUAUUAAAUAAAAAUGCCAUUGUAGAGUCCAUUUUUUUUUUUUUAAGUGCAAAACAAUCUCUGCUCAUCUACUCAUACCUACUGCCAAUAGUACCUGCAAUAGUAGUUGUGGGUUUAUCUUACCAGGGAGCUGCUUGUCAGUGAAGGACAGCCAGGAGCUGGGUGUAAGCAAGGUGUGGGACAGGGCCCCCACUGCAUGGUGUUGCAUGGGCACCAUUCUGCAGUGGCUGAGCAAGGAAAGGGCAGGGCUGUUGAGGAACUGCCUGAUGGUCCCCAGGUAGGUCUCUUGUGAUGCAACAGGUCUGAGGUCACAUUGGGGCGCACAGGGUUAGGCUCAAGGUAGGACUGAGGGCAACAACUGUAGCUUAAAUACAUGAGAAAAGCAGGUGUAGGAGGCCCUAAUGUGGCUCUGUGCAUCUCUGCCACACAUCAUUUGUUCCAACAACCUGAAUGAGGCUUAUGCUGCUGCCCCAUAGCAAAGAUAGGAUUGAGAACAGUCAGCCAAAAUCUUGGAUAGGAAGCAGACGCUGCAGAGCCUGGGGGUGUGCAUGGAGCACAAACACAACCAUCCUGCAGGAUGGUAAGGCUACAUUUUCUGUAGGACACUGCUGAGUGGGAAACACAGUCUUCGUCAAGAGGAUCAAUAUGUACCUGGGGCUCAGUGUCAAUCAGGAUUUCAGCGACUGUAUGCCACUACUUUGUUAUUAAGUGUUUUGCAGGAUAAAGUUGAUAUGGUAACAAGAGUAUCAUCCUUAUUUUAAAAAAUGAUUUUAAAAUUUCCACAACUCAAAAAUAGAUAGCCUGCAUGAAAAUAAUGCUUUGUAGAAAGACACAGUAUAUUUCUAUCCUACUCUGGGGAGGUUUCUGAGCAUUAUUAUCAUAUUGUGAUGCUAUGCUACGAUUAAUCACCCCUUUUAGUGAUGCAGCAAUAAACUUAAAGGUUUAGAUUUUCAUCUUGUGUAAAUCAAUAUGGGUUUAUUGACUUCAGUGGAACUCUGCCAGGUGAAUAUCUGGCCCCAGACAUCAAACUGAGCUUGUACAGAGAUGUUUAAUAAAGCAAGAGAUCUGUGUUUUCACAGUAGAUAAAUGACUUUACAGGAGAUGCUGAAGUCUCUUGUGGCACCCCUCUUCCAAGAAGUUUUAUUUUAAUCAUUCUCAUAAAGUCUCUUAGUUGCAACAAUAAUGCUAAGUGCCUGACACAAAGCGAAGGAAAUCUGCUUUCCAGAUAACUACUAGAAUGAAAUUUCAUUCUUUAGUCGUUGUUUUAAUUUACUUGUUCCCCUAGGAUUUUUAUUCUGUUAUUUCCUCCCUUUUACUAGCACUAGGGCUAAUGCUCAAAC
Gallus gallus (chicken) is the source of this 2243-nucleotide long non-coding RNA. The record is from Ensembl. NCBI's taxonomy places the organism in Eukaryota, Metazoa, Chordata, Aves, Galliformes, Phasianidae.